Molecule: long non-coding RNA, 500 nt
Organism: Sander lucioperca (pikeperch)
Lineage: Eukaryota; Metazoa; Chordata; Actinopteri; Perciformes; Percidae
Exons: 2
Source: RefSeq, a predicted model, not a curated record
AAUAAAAAUGUCCACACACUUUGCAAAAUUCUACUCCAAUGAGCAAAACACCUCCACAGAUUUGCACAACAUUACACACAAUGUCUGCUUCACCCUUUUUGCAAAACAUUACACACAGUGAUUUGUAAAACUCUACACACAUUUUCACACCUUAGACACAGAUAAGGAUUGUGAGGUUACUUCCUUGUCAUUACAAAGCCCCGGAUUGCCAUUGACCACACUAAUGAACGAAUUGGAUAAUCACAUCCACCAGGUGUGGAAGCACACAUGUGCUAAUUUGAAAACGCAGCACUCAGGUGUGCUAUAAAAGGCAGCAGUUACAGUAUUCUUGUUGCUUUUACAGUAGUUUUUCUUCAGAGUCAAAGUGUAUGUACUUCAUGCAGUAAUUUUUAUUUGUCUACAGAUUUUAUUUGUUUCAUUGAUUUCAUUGUUGGUUGAUUACUGUAACUGAUUAUGGUAAGAAAUACUGUAAGUAUUGAAAUAAAUACUUGAAAUAUUCA